Molecule: ribosomal RNA, 253 nt
Filed under: uncultured bacterium
Lineage: Bacteria
Description: partial 16S ribosomal RNA
Rfam family: Bacterial small subunit ribosomal RNA
Source: RNAcentral
UACGGAGGGAGCUAGCGUUGUUCGGAAUUACUGGGCGUAAGGCGCGCGUAGGCGGUUUUCCAAGUCAGUGGUGAAAGCACGGGGCUCAACCCCGGAAUAGCCUUUGAAACUGGAAAACUAGAAUCUUGGAGAGGUCAGUGGAAUUCCGAGUGUAGAGGUGAAAUUCGUAGAUAUUCGGAAGACCACCAGUGGCGAAGGCGACUGACUGGACAAGUAUUGACGCUGAGGUGCGAAAGCGUUGGGAGCAAACAGG